GAUGAACGCUGGCGGCGUGCCUAAUACAUGCAAGUCGAGCGAACAGACGAGGAGCUUGCUCCUCUGACGUUAGCGGCGGACGGGUGAGUAACACGUGGAUAACCUACUUAUAAGACUGGGAUAACUUCGGGAAACCGGAGCUAAUACCGGAUAAUAUAUUGAACCGCAUGGUUCAAUAGUGAAUGACGGCUUUGCUGUCACUUAUAGAUGGAUCCGCGCCGCAUUAGCUAGUUGGUAAGGUAACGGCUUACCAAGGCAACGAUGCGUAGCCGACCUGAGAGGGUGAUCAGCCACACUGGAACUGAGACACGGUCCAGACUCCUACGGGAGGCAGCAGUAGGGAAUCUUCCGCAAUGGGCGAAAGCCUGACGGAGCAACGCCGCGUGAGUGAUGAAGGUCCUCGGGUCGUAAAACUCUGUUAUUGGGGAAGAACAGAUGUGUAAGUAACUAUGCACGUCUUGACGGUACCUAAUCAGAAAGCAACGGCUAACUACGUG
RNAcentral lists this ribosomal RNA (497 nucleotides) under uncultured bacterium. RNAcentral describes it as "partial 16S ribosomal RNA". It matches the Rfam family "Bacterial small subunit ribosomal RNA", at positions 28 to 507 of the family's 1533-position model. The record is from RNAcentral.